Molecule: ribosomal RNA, 684 nt
Filed under: uncultured delta proteobacterium
Lineage: Bacteria; Deltaproteobacteria
Description: bacterial SSU rRNA
Rfam family: Bacterial small subunit ribosomal RNA
Source: RNAcentral
AGAGUUUGAUCCUGGCUCAGAACGAACGCUGGCGGCGUGCUUAACACAUGCAAGUCGAACGUGAAAGUCCUUCGGGAUGAGUAAAGUGGCGCACGGGUGAGUAAUGCGUAGAUAAUCUGCCUGAUGAUCUGGGAUAACAUCUCGAAAGGGGUGCUAAUACCGGAUAAGCCCACGGGCUCUUCGGAGCUUGCGGGAAAAGGGGGGGACCUUCGGGCCUUCUGUCAUCAGAUGAGUCUACGUACCAUUAGCUAGUUGGUAGGGUAAAGGCCUACCAAGGCGACGAUGGUUAGCUGGUCUGAGAGGAUGAUCAGCCACACUGGAACUGAGACACGGUCCAGACUCCUACGGGAGGCAGCAGUGGGGAAUUUUGCGCAAUGGGGGAAACCCUGACGCAGCAACGCCGCGUGAGUGAUGAAGGCCUUCGGGUCGUAAAGCUCUGUCAGAGGGAAAGAAAUGUGGGGCGCUAAUACCGUUACCACUUGACGGUACCCUCAAAGGAAGCACCGGCUAACUCCGUGCCAGCAGCCGCGGUAAUACGGAGGGUGCGAGCGUUGUUCGGAAUUAUUGGGCGUAAAGCGCGUGUAGGCGGUUUUAUAAGUCUGAUGUGAAAGCCCCCGGGCUCAACCUGGGAAGUGCAUUGGAUACUGUAAGACUUGAGUACCGGAGANGGCAGUGGAAUUCCUA